AUUGAACGCUGGCGGCAUGCCUUACACAUGCAAGUCGAACGGCAGCACGGGAGCAAUCCUGGUGGCGAGUGGCGAACGGGUGAGUAAUAUAUCGGAGCGUGCCCAGUCGUGGGGGAUAACGUAGCGAAAGCUACGCUAAUACCGCAUACGAUCUACGGAUGAAAGCGGGGGAUCGCAAGACCUCGCGCGAUUGGAGCGGCCGAUAUCAGAUUAGGUAGUUGGUGAGGUAAAAGCUCACCAAGCCGACGAUCUGUAGCUGGUUUGAGAGAACGACCAGCCACACUGGGACUGAGACACGGCCCAGACUCCUACGGGAGGCAGCAGUGGGGAAUUCUGGACAAUGGGCGAAAGCCUGAUCCAGCAAUGCCGCGUGCAGGAUGAAGGCCUGGUGUAACUGCUUGUACGACGAACGGUGAGC
This 418-nucleotide ribosomal RNA is filed under the name uncultured bacterium. RNAcentral's name for it is "bacterial SSU rRNA". It matches the Rfam family "Bacterial small subunit ribosomal RNA", at positions 30 to 453 of the family's 1533-position model. The record is from RNAcentral.